This 440-nucleotide ribosomal RNA is filed under the name uncultured bacterium. RNAcentral describes it as "partial 16S ribosomal RNA". It matches the Rfam family "Bacterial small subunit ribosomal RNA", at positions 338 to 795 of the family's 1533-position model. The record is from RNAcentral.
CCUACGGUAGUCAGCAGUGGGGAAUAUUGCACAAUGGGGGACACCCUGAUGCAGCGACGCAGCGUGAGUGAAGGAGUAUUUAGGUAUGUAACGCUCUAUCAGCAGGGCAGAUAAUGACGGUAACUGACUAAGAAGCACCGGCUAACUACGUGCCAGCAGCCGCGGUCAUACGUAGGGGGCAAGCGUUCUCCGGAUUUACUGGGUGUAAAGGGAGCGUAGGUGGCAGGGCAAGUCAGAUGUGAACACCCGGGGCUCAACCCCGGGAGUGCAUUUGAAACUGUCCAGAUAGAGUGCAGGAGAGGUAAGCUGAAUUCCUAGUGUAGCGGUGAAAUGCAUAGAUAUUAGGAGGAACACCAGUGGCGAAGGCGGCUUACUGGACUGUAACUGACACUGAGGCUCGAAAGCGUGGGGAGCAAACAGGAUUAGAUACCCGUGUAGUC